UCUAGAGAAAGACGACUAGAGGUAGAUUAAGGAAAAGAGAUGCGUUUAUUCUCACAGCUGUUAAUUAAAAAUAAUAAAGAUACCAAGUAAAGAAAAAGUAGAGUCUCAUAGCUCAGCUGGUUAGAGCGCUACACUGAUAAUGUAGAGGUCGGCAGUUCGAGUCUGCCUGAGACUACUAGUUUUUUACUUACUGGAAAUUUUGGAAGUUGAGUUAUCACGUUAAGGUGAGCCGUUUUUGAAGCUGUUAACUUAUGACUGUUAGCUGUUAACUAUAAAAAGACGGGGAAUUAGCUCAGCUGGCUAGAGCGCCUGCCUUGCACGCAGGAGGUCAUCGGUUCGACUCCGAUAUUCUCCACAGAAACGUUCAUUGACAUAUUGAAAAAAUACAUAAACAAUUAGGUUAUUUAUAACCUAAUGUAAUUUGAGAUUAAUUGUAGCGCGAGCGACAAUUAAUCAAUAACUCAUUAAAAAGACAAAAAGUACAA
RNAcentral lists this unclassified non-coding RNA (485 nucleotides) under uncultured marine bacterium. RNAcentral describes it as "partial contains 16S ribosomal RNA, 16S-23S ribosomal RNA intergenic spacer, and 23S ribosomal RNA". The stretch from base 102 to 175 matches the Rfam family "tRNA". The record is from RNAcentral.